This is a long non-coding RNA of Pezoporus occidentalis (night parrot), 1814 nucleotides long. RefSeq lists it as uncharacterized. The record is from RefSeq and is a predicted model, not a curated record. The transcript has 2 exons. NCBI's taxonomy places the organism in Eukaryota, Metazoa, Chordata, Aves, Psittaciformes, Psittacidae.
UUUGUCCUGCGCAUGGGGCCUGGGGGGAAUCAGCCUCCAGCCCUCAUGGGGACCACAGAAGGGAAUGAAGCAAAGAAGGAUCUGAGGUCUGAUACUUCCCAGCAAGGACAGCCAGCGGGGCAGAGGGUGGGGAUGUGGUCUGAUAACAGCAUGUGAAACCAUGCCACGGGAGAGCAUCCUGGAGAAGAAAGGUCCCUUUAAUCUCCCCCCCCAAAAGCACUAACAAGACUCAGAGCUUGCAGCAGAAGAAACCAAGGAGUUAGGCACACACAUUUUUAGGUCAGGGUAGCCAGGACAGGCAACUUUUCAGUUGCUGGGUUUAACCUCCCCAGUUAAUGGCUCAUAUUCCAAACAUGGAUAGAGUUUGGCCAAGAGCACUUCAUGAUUUCUUCCACACACGUGGCCACACCAGACCCGACCUCAGUGCUCAGCACCACGGGCCAUCACUGACACACCAUGUGCAUCAGGCUUAGCAGCAACCACUAUGGCACCCCCAGUACAGCCCAGCUUGCCAAUGCUCCAGUAAAGCCACAUCUGGGCAGCUGCAGGACCAAAUUACCAUCUUCCCAUAGGCACUAUUAGCCCCUGAGCAGCCUCACCUGGGACCCAUAUCCCCACCCAUGGGCCAGGAGUUUAUUUAAGCUCAGCUGGGGGUGCUAGUCCUGCCCUGAAGGAUGCUCCAGCCUUGCUCCUAGCCAGACCCUGCUGGGUAUCACCCCUGCAAGCAGCUCCUGCCCCAGCUCAUUAACAGAAGGACCCCUCUUGCUCGCCGGCGGUUUGUGUGACCAGGAUGCUGCUGAACAAACCACCCUUAUUCUGCCCAGUAUAGAAGGAGCUUUGAUAAACCCAGGAAACCCUCAGCAAGCAGCGAGGGUCCUUCUGGAAAGCCGGCUCUCACUGCCUUUGGGAACAGCUGCAGGACCGGCAUCUCCAGCCAGAGAGCUGGCAUCUCCAGCCAGCUCAAAUGCGAUUCCCCCAGGGCUGUGCCAUGCGCUCGGGUGGUCCCUUCCCAGAGGGUGCCUUUUGGGAUAAGCAGCUCUGCAAAAAGGAAAGCAUUCCUGCCUGUUUUAUUUUAACACUUUGGGCUUGAGGGCUGUUAUUCGUAACUUGUCAAGAUCUUGGCAUCUGCAGCUGAUUUGUCAUCCACCAUAAAAUGGAGGAUGAGCAUCUUUGGUUCAGAAGUGGGCCAAGUGAGAUGAUAGCUCAAAGCAAAAUAGGCUUCAUCUCGAGUCUUCUCCGUGGGCUUCAGCUCCUUGGGGAAGGAGCGGACAUUUGGGGUCUAAGUUGCAUCACAGGCAUCAUGUGUAAGAGCCCUUGGCGUGCUCUGCAUCUGUGACAGAAGAGCACGGUGCACAUUAACCUCCUAGCUGCCAGAUGAAGUUUUGCUUGGCUGAUGCCCUCUUCAACCUCUCCUCAGUGCCAAGCUGUUCACCUGCCAUGGGGAUGCUACUGAGAUACACAAAUGCUGUUAUUUUAUAUAUAUAUGUAUAUUAAUGAAUCUAGCAACCUCUUUAAAACCCAGGCAAUGAGAUGCAGCAACUGAGGGGUGUACCUUGGCAUGCUGAAGUUUGGAGAUAGAUAAAUUAUUAAUUCUGCCAUUGCUGAUCUGCCCAUAGCUCUGUGCUCCCUCCCUUCAGCUUGUGUCCGGCACUGUAUCCGGCCCCUGGCUGCUCUGGGCCAGGCAGCCACAGACAAAGCAGCCACAAACUACACGAAAAAGCAUCUUAAUCCAUAGGUAUUUUAUCGUGCUGACACCACCACGAGGCAGCAAGAACUCGAGUUUGAAGCCAUAGAAUUAAAGCUCUCUGCAAGUA